GGAUGAUUUUUUUUUUGUUUUAUGUCUCUUACUUUUGCCUGGAUUGCCCUUUCGGGGUUUCAAUCCACCGAGACGCUCAUUUUUUCCUAAGCCGCCCUUUCGGGUUUUCAACUUAGAAAGUUGUUCUUUUUUUUAGGCGAAGUAUUUCUUGACUGCAUCUGCGUUCACAUGGCGAGUGAACUCUUCACCAUCCAUAGUUGUAAGAAUCAAAGCACCGCUUGAAAA
RNAcentral lists this long non-coding RNA (225 nucleotides) under Lathyrus oleraceus (garden pea). RNAcentral describes it as "Pisum sativum (pea) long non-coding RNA (PSAT_LNC030325)". Lineage: Eukaryota; Viridiplantae; Streptophyta; Magnoliopsida; Fabales; Fabaceae. The record is from RNAcentral.